GGAAUCUUCCACAAUGGACGCAAGUCUGAUGGAGCAACGCCGCGUGAGUGAAGAAGGGUUUCGGCUCGUAAAGCUCUGUUGUUAAAGAAGAACGUGGGUAAGAGUAACUGUUUACCCAGUGACGGUAUUUAACCAGAAAGCCACGGCUAACUACGUCCCAG
RNAcentral lists this ribosomal RNA (161 nucleotides) under uncultured bacterium. Its description in RNAcentral is "partial 16S rRNA". It matches the Rfam family "Bacterial small subunit ribosomal RNA", at positions 358 to 511 of the family's 1533-position model. The record is from RNAcentral.